AUUGAACGCUGGCGGCAUGCUUUACACAUGCAAGUCGAACGGUAACAGGCCUUCGGGUGCUGACGAGUGGCGAACGGGUGAGUAAUGCAUCGGAACGUACCCAGAGGUGGGGGAUAACGCAGCGAAAGCUGUGCUAAUACCGCAUGUGAUCUGAGGAUGAAAGCGGGGGACCGAGCAGCAAUGUUUGGCCUCGCGCCUUUGGAGCGGCCGAUGUCGGAUUAGCUAGUUGGUGGGGUAAAGGCCUACCAAGGCGACGAUCCGUAGCUGGUCUGAGAGGACGACCAGCCACACUGGGACUGAGACACGGCCCAGACUCCUACGGGAGGCAGCAGUGGGGAAUUUUGGACAAUGGGAGCAAGCCUGAUCCAGCAAUGCCGCGUGCGGGAAGAAGGCCUUCGGGUUGUAAACCGCUUUUGGCAGGAACGAAACGGUGUCCGCUAAUACCGGGCGCUAAUGACGGUACCUGCAGAAUAAGCACCGGCUAACUACGUG
This 492-nucleotide ribosomal RNA is filed under the name uncultured bacterium. Its description in RNAcentral is "partial 16S ribosomal RNA". It matches the Rfam family "Bacterial small subunit ribosomal RNA", at positions 29 to 507 of the family's 1533-position model. The record is from RNAcentral.